This 333-nucleotide long non-coding RNA is filed under the name Elaeis guineensis (African oil palm). RNAcentral describes it as "long non-coding RNA (EGUI_LNC069619)". The record is from RNAcentral. Lineage: Eukaryota; Viridiplantae; Streptophyta; Magnoliopsida; Arecales; Arecaceae.
AAGACUCAACUACUAGCAAUUCCUCAUCCUACCAACCUAAGGAGGCUUUCACAAGACGACAUUGACUAUAGAAGGGGGGCUGAUACCUCGAGGUGUUGCGACAGCACUAGCUAGCCCUAAGGAAUGAUUCGGGGUUCACUAGGCCUCCAUUCUCGAUGAGGAUUAUGGAGGAACCUAUUCCUCCUCAAGAUGCCACAACUUGAGACUUAUAAUGCCACCACCAAUCCCUACAACCAUCUAGAGAGCUACAAAGCUCUUAUAAUGCUCCAGGAGGCCACCAACUUGGUGAUAUGCAAAGUCUUCCCUAUCACCAUUCAGAAGGCUACUUGAAUG